This 301-nucleotide ribosomal RNA is filed under the name uncultured bacterium. Its description in RNAcentral is "partial 16S ribosomal RNA". It matches the Rfam family "Bacterial small subunit ribosomal RNA", at positions 509 to 807 of the family's 1533-position model. The record is from RNAcentral.
CAGCCGCCGCGGGAAUACGUAGGGUGCAAGCGUUAAUCGGAAUUACUGGGCGUAAAGCGUGCGCAGGCGGUUAUAUAAGACAGAUGUGAAAUCCCCGAGCUCAACCUGGGACCUGCAUUUGUGACUGUGUAGCUAGAGUACGGUAGAGGGGGAUGGAAUUCCGCGUGUAGCAGUGAAAUGCGUAGAUAUGCGGAGGAACACCGAUGGCGAAGGCAAUCCCCUGGACCUGUACUGACGCUCAUGCACGAAAGCGUGGGGAGCAAACAGGAUUAGAUACCCGUGUAGUCCCUGUCUCUUAUAC